Molecule: RNA transcript, 2540 nt
Organism: Pteropus alecto (black flying fox)
Lineage: Eukaryota; Metazoa; Chordata; Mammalia; Chiroptera; Pteropodidae
Gene: SYNE4
Gene name: spectrin repeat containing nuclear envelope family member 4
Exons: 6
Source: RefSeq, a predicted model, not a curated record
CGCCUCCCUGCCGCUCAACGCAGCCGCCUGCCCCUCGGCGCGACCCGGAGCCCGCCUGGUCCGCGGCACCCGCGUCUCGCUGACCAUCCGUCGGGUGCCCCGCGUCCUGCGCGCUGGUCUUCUGCUCAGCAAGUGAAACCUGGCCCCCGGGACCCGCUGGGCUUCCCAGGCUCUUGCCUCCUCUGGACAGCUGCGACCCUGCAAUCUUGAAACCAUGGGGCAGAGUCUGUUCCCCGGGUUAUUUAUUUUCCCAAUAACCGUGGGAACCACAGGAAAAGGCCCCGUUUCAAAUAAACCAACAAAAGUCUUUCUUUGGUUUUGGAUUUUUGGAGGUGGGAGGCCAGAUGCUUGUGUUCCUGAGGGGCACUGUGUCUGGGACCUUAGAUAGAUAGUGUGGGUCCUGGGGGUCAGACGUAUGGGUCACUGACCCAGGCAGAAUCCAAGACUCUUGAGGGGACAGGGUUAUAUCUGGAACAUCCUUGGGUAGGAUGGGGUGAGCUGGGGAAGUUCAGCUGGUCUGCUAGGGAGGAAGGAGUUAAGUGGCGCGGCUGUCACCUGAGCCAGCAUCGAAUUACCUGGGUCCAGGUUUCACUUGGAAGGAGGUGGAGCUGAGCCUGCCCCUGAGCCUCCGGCUGCCUCAGGCCUGGGUGAGCCCUGCUGCGGAGAUGUGGGGGGACACUACUGGCUAGAAAGGCUCUUACUGGGGAUCCUCACUGACUCUCUUUCUCCGGACACCCAGCUAUGGCCCUGCCCCCACCCCUGGACCCUAGACCCCUUUCAGAGCCCGUCAACCACCCCCCCGGAGCCCCCAGGGAGGUGGACAUUGCUGGAUGCACCAUCUGCCUCACUUCUGGAGAGGAAAGAAUCAGGCUGGAAUGGGACCAGAAACUGGGGCAGGACUCCUGGAAUCCUCCUGAGCACUUUCAGGGUGGGCUGAAGGACACUGAGCCUACUGCUGGUUGCCCCAAACUGCCAAUGCCUUCUUUCCCUGAAGACCCAGCUGGGGGCAAAUACUGUGAGACCCCCGCAUCUGGCUGGGAGGUAUUGGAGGCUGAGCAGGACAGUCUGCACCUUUGCCUGCUGGGCCUGGGUCUCCGGUUGCAGCACCUAGAACGAGGCCCGGGGCCCUGGACAUCAGCCCAGAGCAGGAUGGUCCACCUGCAGACUCUACAGGCAGACCUGCGUGGGGCAGCUGAGCGUAUAGAUGCACUGCUGGCAUUCGGUGAGGGGCUGGCACAGCGGAGUGAGCCUCAGGCCUGGAUGUCCCUGCAGCAGGUCCUGAGGGCCCUCAGAGCCCACCGAGAGAGCAUCUUCCGGCGGCUGCGGCGGCUGCAGGCCCAGCUGGUGUUUGAGGAGGCCAACACACUGGACCAGGAUUUGGAGGUUGAAGGGGACCCGGACUGGCCAGGACCUGGUGGGCUCUGUAGCCCCUGGGCACCCAGUAGUCUCCCCACUCUUGCAGAAUUGGAGUGGGACCCAGCAGGGGACGUUGGGGGCCUUGGGCCCUUGGGGCAAAAGACAGCCUGGACACCAGGGGAUUCCUGUGAGCUGUGUGGCCACAGGGGCCCCCAGAGUAGGGGACAAGGCCUUGAGGUAAGAGCUGGUAUGGGACGCUUCCACCCAGGCACCCACAGGACACCUCUACACACCUCCCAGCAGGGUCCUUCCCUUUCAAGGAGGUUUGGUGGCUCAUUCUCUUUCUGUCUGUCUGUCUGUCUGUCUCUCAGUGUCUUUCUCUCUUGGUGUCGUCACAGUGUUUUCCUCCCUCCUUCCCUUGUCUCUUUUCGUCUCUGUAUCUUCCUCCAUCUCACUCUUUCUCUCUCUCUGGUCCAUCUAUAUCUACAUUUCCUCAUUUCCUCUCACUCUCCCCCUUGCUCAUCCCACUACAACCACAUUAGCCUCCUGGCUUUUCUUCAGGCAUUCCAAAUUCACUCCCAUCUCAAAGGCCCAGCUCGCCUCUUCGCUUCAUUCCAUUCUCACCUCAAAUGUCACUUCUUCACAGAGGCCUGCUGUGACCUCCAAACACCAUCACUCCUUAUCCUUUUACUUUAUUUCUUAAUGGCACUUACCACAUCUUGACAUUAUAUAUUUAUUAAUUUACGGUCUCUCUCCUGCUAGCAUAGAAGCUCCAUGGAUGCCAGGACUUUGCCUGUUUCCGUUGCCACUGUGUCCUUAGCUCCUGGAGUAGUGCCUGGCAUGUAAUAGAUACUCAUUAAAUAUUUGUCAAAUGAAUGAAUGAAUAAUGUCUCUCCCCUCUUGGUUCCUUUGGCUCUGCCCCUCUCUUCCUCUCUUCCCAAGGUCUUUCUCUUUCCUCAGAAUUCCUCUGUGACACCCCCCAUUUUGACCCCUUCCCAACCUUGUAUCUCUUUGUCAUUGGUUCUCCAGGACCCCACACCUCUCUCUCCCCACAGGACAUACUGAUGUCGGGUCUCAGCCACCGGAAACACUUAGCAGGUCACCGAAGACACUCCCUGCUCCGGAAGUCUCAGGACAAGAAGAGACAAGCAUCUUCCAGUUUCCAGGAUGUGAUGCUGGAGGUU